This 253-nucleotide ribosomal RNA is filed under the name uncultured bacterium. RNAcentral's name for it is "partial 16S ribosomal RNA". It matches the Rfam family "Bacterial small subunit ribosomal RNA", at positions 524 to 776 of the family's 1533-position model. The record is from RNAcentral.
UACGUAGGGCGCAAGCGUUAUCCGGAAUUAUUGGGCGUAAAGAGCUCGUAGGCGGUUUGUCGCGUCUGCCGUGAAAGCCCGGGGCUCACCUCCGGAAGUGCGCUUGAAACUGGUCGGCUAGAGUACGGGAGAGGGAAGCGGAAUUCCUGGUGUAGCGGUGAAAUGCGUAGAUAUCUGGAGGAACACCGGUGGCGAAGGCGGCGUUCUGGACUGCAACUGACACUGAGAGACGAAAGCCAGGGGAGCAAACGGG